UGAGGUAGUGACUCAUUUUGUUUAGAACUACACCUUACCGAAGAACAGAGUGAGCCGCUAGCUUUCC
Molecule: microRNA precursor, 67 nt
Filed under: Melibe leonina
Lineage: Eukaryota; Metazoa; Mollusca; Gastropoda; Nudibranchia; Dendronotidae
Description: let-7 stem-loop (mle-let-7)
Gene: mle-let-7
Source: miRBase by way of RNAcentral